This 271-nucleotide ribosomal RNA is filed under the name uncultured archaeon. RNAcentral's name for it is "partial 16S ribosomal RNA". It matches the Rfam family "Archaeal small subunit ribosomal RNA", at positions 477 to 747 of the family's 1478-position model. The record is from RNAcentral.
CGGCAGCCCUAGUGGUGACCGUUUUUAUUUGGCCUAAAGCGUCCGUAGCUGGUUUAGUAAAUCUCUUGUGAAAUCGUUCGGCUCAACCGAGCGGCGUGCAGGAGAGACUGCUAAACUAGGGAUCGGGAGGAGUCAGAGGUAUGCCUGGGGGAGCGGUAAAAUGCUAUAAUCCCAAAAGGACCACCUGUGGCGAAGGCGUCUGACUAGAACGGAUCCGACGGUGAGGGACGAAAGCCAGGGGAGCGAUCCGGAUUAGAGACCCGAGUAGUCC